Non-coding RNA from Lonchura striata (white-rumped munia), 596 nucleotides. The record is from RefSeq and is a predicted model, not a curated record. Lineage: Eukaryota; Metazoa; Chordata; Aves; Passeriformes; Estrildidae.
CAGAAAAUUCAGCAUGGUGAAUGUCCAUUGUUUUUUAGAUCUGCUCUGAGUUGUGCUGCAGAGGACCUACCCCUUCUCUAGGGGAUGCACACAGUCCCCACCCUCUCCCCAUGUCCAGUGUGCACCCCUCAGGUUUUGGUGCAGUGUAAGCUCUGAGCUGCAACUCAAUGUAGACAAUUUUUGCUGUUUCAUUUCAGGAGACAUGCUCACUUGAUACGCAAAUAAACCUGAAGGUGACUACACCAGAUGAAAUAUUAAUAACAACUCUUCCUUUGCAUUUCCACCAUACUUUAGGUGAUUCUUUGCAUCCAUACAAAGCAGGCUCCUGCAAACCACAUGAUGGAUUCCCUGAAACCUCUCUCUGACUAACAGUACUUUGUGGAAGAAUGGGAAGGAACUCUCUGUGGUCGCACUUCUCUGUAGUGGCACAGCACAAUGUGAUGAAGGAGCAUUGCUGACACAGCAGCCACUCCAAUGCAUCUCCCUUACAGCAAAACCUGCUCUGUAUGAGGGUAGUUUGAAGGCAAAAGUUCAUUUAUUAUAUUUCUGUAACAAAGACACCUGAUGUCUUAAUAAAGAGACCAAUACAAAAUGAA